CGCCGCAUGAGAAGGUUUAACACAAAAACACAACUACUAAUUGAAGCAUUCCUCUUGCAUCGUCUCGUGGUGAAGUCAGCGGUCCGGGAAAGGUGUUAUAUUUGCGUAAAAGAGAAGCCACCAAGAUCAGAUUUCAAAAAUGAAGAAUUAUAUAUUGGUUUUGUUGAUCGUGAUAGGAAUCAUCUCUCUCACAGUGCACGCAGAUGAUGAAAGUGGAUCAGGUUCCGAUUCUGGUUCUGGUGCAGAAGAUUUACCGCCGGCAACUGAUGCAGUACCGGUAGUCGAUGAAGCUGCCGAGGACGUUGCCGCGGAAGAGGAAGAGAUAGCUAUUAUAAUGAAUUAAACAUUAGAUUCAGCAUUUAACACCAGGUCUCCUUCAAAAGAAAUCGUUGAUGGCAGGUGAUUGGUCGUUCGCAGUCAACCAUUUACAUGUCGCAACAAAUUCCAUUUGCUGGCUCCAUCACGUGACAGUACUUCUCUCAUCGGAUUUUCAAGUGCAUAGCAUAAAUUGUAAAUUUGAGAAAAUUAUUUAAAAAAUGAUAUACACAAAAUUGUGUCGGUAUACUUUUUGAGGAUUUGGUUUAUAGGUCAUUCCAUUUACAAUAUAGGAGUGAAGGGUCAUUAUUUGGUGGUGAAGGGGCUUACAAUGCAACCAUACCAUUUACCCUAUGGGGGUGGAGGCCGCAAUUUAGAACAAUUAUAUUUUAUUAAUCUCCCGCAUGGCACAGUGUACCUUAAAGUGCAAUAUUAAUAUUUAAAAGUUAAUUUAAUUGGUAUUUGGUUUAGUUAUCAUAUGAUUGGGAGACUGUUCACCACACUGUGUACAAUUUCGAUUAUGUGUAGUAUACAAGUUAUUUAAGGCAACAUCAAUAAGAUUUCAUUUCAUAUUAACUAAUUUGUUCAUUUCACCAUACCACUAUCACUUGUUCAUUCCACUAUACAACUAUUUCCUUAGUUCACUUCACCACACUAGUUAAUUUGUUCAUUUCACCAUACCACAACCAUUUCAUUUGUUCAUUCACUACACCACAGCCAUUUCAUUCGUUCGUUGCACCAAAUCACCAUUUCAUUACACCACAACCAUUUUAUUAGUUCAUUGCACCAAAUCACCAUUUCAUUUCAUACCACCAUUUCAUUGCACCAAAUCACCAUUUCAUUUCACUACACCACAACCAUUUUAUUAGUUCAUUGCACCAAAUCACCAUUUCAUUUCACUACACAACCAUUUUAUUAGUUAAUUGCACCAAAUCAUUUCAUCAUACCACAACCACUUCAUUAGUUCAUUGCACCAAAUCACCAUUUUAUUAGUUAAUUGCACCAAAUCACCAUUUCAUUUCAUCAUACCACAACCAUUUCAUUAGUUCAUUGCACCAAAUCACCAUUUUAUUAGUUAAUUGCACCAAAUCACCAUUUCAUUUCAUCAUACCAUAACCAUUUCAUUAGUUCAUUGCACCAAAUCACCAUUUCAUUUCAUCAUACCACCAUUUCAUUGCACCAAAUCACCAUUUCAUUACACCACAACCAUUUUAUUAGUUCAUUGCACCAAAUCACCAUUUCAUUUCACUACACCACAACCAUUUUAUUUGUUAAUUGCACCAAAUCAUUUCAUCAUACCGCAACCACUUCAUUGCACCAAACCACCAUUUCAUUUCAUCAUACCACAAUUAUUUCAUUUGCUCACUUCCUCAAUUCACUUAUUUUUAAUUUCACCUAAUCACCCAAUCACACCCUGUUCAUUUUCACCGUACCAUUUACUAACUCAUAAAAUUACUGUCAAUCAACAUAUCCCAUCAUACAUCACUGGGAAUUUAAAUCAUUUUAGUAUUGAAAAUAAGAGAACGAUUCUCUGGUUGCGACUACUUGUACGACAAUUUGCCGCUGAUUUUUGGAGAUACUAAUUAUUUGUCUUGCAUUGUGGAUGGAGUAUGAAUAUAUAAAUUUGUUUCUCCUGUUUUAGAAAGAUUUCUCAAUCUUUCAAAGACAAUCUUUAUGUUAGAUACAUAAGCUCUGUGUUAUUUUUGGAAUUAUAUAUGCCCUAAUUUGCAUAUGAAACACCAUUAGUUACAACUGCUGUAUUGGAAUCACUUGUUACCAUGGUAACAAUGCAAUAAAGAUCUCUUAAAAA
This is a long non-coding RNA of Saccoglossus kowalevskii, 2125 nucleotides long. RefSeq lists it as uncharacterized. The record is from RefSeq and is a predicted model, not a curated record. Lineage: Eukaryota; Metazoa; Hemichordata; Enteropneusta; Harrimaniidae.